AGCAGCCGCGGUAAUUCCAGCUCCAAUAGCGUAUAUUAAAGUUGCUGCAGUUAAAAAGCUCGUAGUUGAAUUUCGGGAUCGAUAUAUCGGUCGUGCCUCGGUACGUACUGGUAUUUUCGGUUUCUACCUUCUGACGAACCUUGAUGUCAUUAAUUUGGUGUCUUGGGGAAUCAGGACUGUUACUUUGAAAAAAUUAGAGUGUUUAAAGCAGGCUCACGCUUGAAUACAUUAGCAUGGAAUAAUGAAAUAGGACGUUUGAUUCUAUUUUGUUGGUUUCUAGGAUCGACGUAAUGAUUAAUAGGGAUAGUUGGGGGCAUUAGUAUUCAAUUGUCAGAGGUGAAAUUCUUGGAUUUAUUGAAGACUAACUACUGCGAAAGCAUUUGCCAAGGAUGUUUUCAUUAAUCAAGAACGAAAGUUAGGGGAUCGAAGACGAUCAGAUACCGUCGUAGUCUUAACCAUAAACUAUGCCGACUAGGGAUCGGAUGAUGUUAAUUUUUUAAUGACUCAUUCGGCGCCUUACG
Molecule: ribosomal RNA, 521 nt
Filed under: uncultured Glomus
Lineage: Eukaryota; Fungi; Glomeromycota; Glomeromycetes; Glomerales; Glomeraceae
Description: SSU rRNA
Rfam family: Eukaryotic small subunit ribosomal RNA
Source: RNAcentral